UCCCCAACCAUAGUGGGCUUGGAGCUGUGAGGGAAUUCGGAGUGGCCACCUAUUCUGAAAGUUUGAUUUUCUUCUGGUGAACUGGACAUCCUUUUAUUUACGUUUGAAGUUUUGGGUUUUUAAAUGUAAUAAGGCCGCUUAUUUAUUUUUGAUGGUUUUUUUUAUAUGUAUUACUAAGAUAAGUAAUACUUAUUUUAACUGUUGAAAUUGGAUAGCUUUAGGGCGCGUUUUCAAAAACAACAGUUGAUUUCAAAAUAACACGACAACAAGCAAAGCUUCCGCAAUGAAAGUAUUUUCCAAAAUUAAUCACUUUUCCUAAAAAUGACUUAAUCAAAUCGGUUUCCUAGAAAUAUCCAUGACGUUAAAGUGUGGCAAUGGCGGUAUGCAUGUCUAGGAUUGGAUCCGAAGGGAGCUUGGUACUUAAGCAGUCCGAUGGACUCACCACCUCUUUUCCGGUUUCCUACCUGGUGCACAGCUUCCAUUCACUUGGUUAGUUUGACAAAAUUCGGCUUUUUUUUUAAAACACUAAAAAGGGAACACGGGUUUUUGACUUCACAGUGGCAUGUCGGAUUCGGCCUUAACGUCUGGGCCGGGUUUGGGGUGCUACAUAGUGGUACAAAAAGUUUGACUCCUUCCUGUUAAGUAUUGGUUUCGCACAAAGUAAUCAUGAUAAUUGUAUGUAUUUACAAUAUUUAGAUAAAGGUUCAUUCAUAUAUUUGCUGCUUUAUGUUGAUGAUGUGUUGAUAGCAGCUAAGGAUCCGUUAGAAAUUGAACGACUUAAAACCUUACUUAACUCUAAAUUUGAGAUGAAUGAUCUAGGUGCAACAAAGAAAUUAUGGGGAUAAAAAAUUGAAAGGAUAGACGUUUCAAGAAAUUAUUCUUGUCGUAACAAAGGUACAUCAAGAAGAUCCUUGAGCGAUUUGAGAUGCAAAACUCAAAAUCGUUACUCGUCAGCUUGUGUGAGCAGCACCGUGUACUUACGUCUUGACCGUCAGAUUGUGUGAGCAAACCCGAUGAUGGCUCGAGAGUGAGCAUCUAUACGAGAUAUGAGAUAGAGAUGGUUUCGACCAUGUAUUGACAUUUUGGUUUGCGAGUUACCCGAGUAUCCAGUAUUAUUCCAAAUGGUUCAAUGGGCAUAGUGAUGUUACGAAAGUAUAUGAAUUCAAUAUAAACCAGUACAUGUAUGUACGUAAAUCAUGUGAGAAUUGAAUCCAUGAGAUUUGUGAUUUCAUGUCUAACUUUGUGGAUGGAUAUAUGUUAGGCUUGUAGAUCAAAUUGAGUUGCAUUAUACUAUGUUUAAUUACUUAAAUUGUGAUUAAAUGGUAAGAUGAGUUUUAUGCUA
Gossypium arboreum is the source of this 1342-nucleotide long non-coding RNA. RefSeq lists it as uncharacterized. The record is from RefSeq and is a predicted model, not a curated record. The transcript has 2 exons. Lineage: Eukaryota; Viridiplantae; Streptophyta; Magnoliopsida; Malvales; Malvaceae.